This 394-nucleotide ribosomal RNA is filed under the name uncultured bacterium. RNAcentral describes it as "bacterial SSU rRNA". It matches the Rfam family "Bacterial small subunit ribosomal RNA", at positions 37 to 433 of the family's 1533-position model. The record is from RNAcentral.
UGGCGGCNGGCCUAACNCAUGCAAGUCGAGCGGCNGCGCGGGGGCNACCCUGGCGGCGAGCGGCGGACGGGUGAGGAACNCAUCGGAAUCUACCUUGUCGUGGGGGAUAACGUAGGGAAACUUACGCUAAUACCGCAUACGACCUACGGGUGAAAGCGGCGGACCGCAAGGCGUCGCGCGAUUGGAUGAGCCGAUGUCCGAUUAGCUAGUUGGCGGGGUAAAGGCCCACCAAGGCGACGAUCGGUAGCUGGUCUGAGAGGACGACCAGCCACACUGGAACUGAGACACGGUCCAGACUCCUACGGGAGGCAGCAGUGGGGAAUAUUGGACAAUGGGCGCAAGCCUGAUCCAGCCAUGCCGCGUGGGUGAAGAAGGNCUUCGGGUUGUAAAGCCC